Cherax quadricarinatus is the source of this 5910-nucleotide non-coding RNA. NCBI's taxonomy places the organism in Eukaryota, Metazoa, Arthropoda, Malacostraca, Decapoda, Parastacidae. The record is from RefSeq and is a predicted model, not a curated record.
CCAGCCGAUCUUCCCAUUUCACCCCCCUCCCGGUCUUGCCGUUUCCACCACAGCUGCCCAAACCUUCUUCCCAGGGUGCUGCGCUGGUGUGAGGACCUCGUCCAUGUCUGAUGCCCCCACUGGUCUCUUGCGGGAGCUACCCUCCACACACAUAUCUUCUUCAAUCACAUCUUCUUGAUGAACCUCCACCACCACAUUGCUCUCCAUUCUAACCUCACUCAAGUCUUCCUUACCCCUUUUCUGUUCAUCCAUCACCUCGACAUCACCUAACCUCACGUCACCUUCCACACCAUGCUCCGACUCUUCCAAAAAAUCCUUCAGCACAGCUUCCAAUAUCCCUUCUUGAGCUGAAUCUGUGUUACCCAACAGUCUGUCUGACAGUGAUAUUCCCCCCCUCCGUUUCCUCUGGGAGUGUGACAUACGUCUCGAAAGCCACCUCUGAUCAUUCAACGUCUUCACUCCAUAGGCCCUUUCCCCGGCCUUCCAUAUCACCCGUCAAAACGUCCAAGGCUUCUAACUGCUUGUCUUCAGAAGCUGUUUCUUGCACCCUAUGGCCCUGUCUCCUGGGGCAUUGUGCCGCCAUGUGCUCAUAAGAGUCACAUAAAUGGCACGUCCUCCUCUGCCCUGCAAAGUGUACAAAAACCUGAGCUCUAUAGCCAUGCAAUGUGACGCAUGAUGGUAUCAGCUGCCUCAGGGUCAUUUUCAGUGUGAAGGAUCCUUCUGGCAGCCCCUCGUACGGGCCGUCCCUCCACAUUCCCAUGCUCGCCGAGUGGACAGUCCCAUAACCGCUGAACACAUCCUGAAGGCUGUAUGCUGUCGCUUCAAAACAUACAUUCCGUACCUUCACCCAAGUAAAAUACUUAAAGCAUCAUGCAUGCAUACUUCCACUGCCGAAUUUACGCUCAUUCUCUGUUCUUGAAAUUCGUCGACGAUGCUGGAGUAGAAACCGGCCCUCAUGAACUUCACGAAGACCCUUGUCAUACCAUUCAGUGCCACACUGUACAACUCUUCAUUGGGGAUUCCAUAAACAUCCUUGAUAAUGUUUGGGAGGAGAACGUUCAUCGUGGCGCUGCUUAACGAUCCCCUGACCAGCUCGAUGCAGACAGUGUUUAUACGCCGGCUCAUAUGGUCCACCAUCUUGAUGCUAAUGCUAUGUUUUUCUCACCAGGUCGCGUGCAAGAGAAACUGUAGAAGCGGCCUCUCUCCCCGUAGGUCGAGAGACGAAUGAAAUUGGUGACUUGAGGCAGCCUCCGCAGUCUGAUGACUUGAGGUUCUCUAGAAUAUCGUGUCAGCCCUGCAAAUUGACAGAAGUGGACAUUAGAAACAUGAUCCGUUACCUGGAUCACCACAGUGUUAAGACGGAAUACAUCACAUUGAACACCACCAUCAGCAUCCCAGAGAGCCAACAGCACCAACUGGUCUCCCUGGCUCAGAAAACCCUCAACUGUAAAUUAAGUAUAAGACAUCAGCUUUAAAGCGUCUAGAACAACUACACAAAACUUGUCGUCAGUUGCCUCUGUUACCGCAUCAACACGUUUGUUGGAUCCUUGAUGACAGUAGGAUCAAGUCUGAUCAUCUUAAUCAGUGCCGUACCCUUGAUGACAGUAGGAUUAAGUCUGAGCUGUCUAUUAGGUGGAACUUUAUAAGAAACCUGACUAUAUACAGAAUAGCUUUAUAGGCGAGCUGACCUUAUACAGAGGACUUAAUAAGAGAACUGUCCUUAUUCAGAGAAGCUUAAUAAGAGAACUGUCCUUAUGCAGAGGAGCUUAAUAAGAGAGCUGACCUUAUAUAGAGGAGCUUAAUAAGAGAGCUGAUCUUAUAUAGUGUAGACAGCAUGUACUGUCUCCUUGAUUCAUAUCCCGCGGCACUAGGGUGCUGCCCUCUGUAGGCCUGCCCAGGUCAGUGAGACGCGAAGCCUACCCGGUCUCACUCCACGGCCUACCCUCACGAGUUCAACAACCUACCCUCACGAGUUCAACAACCUACCCUCACGGGUUCAACAACCUACCCUCACGAGUUCAACAACCUACCCUCACGAGUUCAAGAAUCUACCCUCACGAGUUCAACAAUCUACCCUCACGAGUUCAACAAUCUACCCUCACGGGUUCAACAACCUACCCCCCGGGUUCAACAACCUACCCUCACGGGUUCAACAACCUACCCUCACGAGUUCAACAAUCUACCCUCACGGGUUCAACAACCUACCCUCACGGGUUCAACAACCUACCCUCACGGGUUCAACAACCUACCCUCACGGGUUCAACAACCUACCCUCACGGGUUCAACAACCUACUCUCCACGGACUGGCUACUAGUCAUUCCCUCACUCUGCCCGUCUUGUACCUACGUGUGGAUUAAUAAAGUCGAGCCUAGUCUACGGCCGCACCUGUGCAACCUACGAUAUCCUUUCGGCACUAAACCGCUGUUCAACACCAAGAACAGCAUUAACAAUAGGGGAGUUUAACAAGAGAGCUGGCCUUAUAUAGAGAAGCUUAAUAAGAGAGCUGACCUUAUGUAGAGGAGCUUAAUAAGAGAGCUGACCUUAUAUAGAGGAGCUUAAUAAGAGAGCUGACCUUAUGUAGAGGAGCUUAAUAAGAGAGCUGACCUUAUAUAGAGAAGCUUAAUAAGAGAGCUGACCUUAUGUAGAGGAGCUUAAUAAGAGAGCUGACCUUAUGUAGAGGAGCUUAAUAAGAGAGCUGACCUUAUAUAGAGAAGCUUAAUAAGAGAGCUGACCUUAUGUAGAGGAGCUUAAUAAGAGAACUGACCUUAUGUAGAGGAGCUUAAUAAGAGAACUGACCUUAUGUAGAGGAGCUUAAUAAGAGAGCUGACCUUAUAUAGAGAAGCUUAAUAAGAGAGCUGACCUUAUGUAGAGGAGCUUAAUAAGAGAGCUGACCUUAUAUAGAGAAGCUUAAUAAGAGAGCUGACCUUAUACAGAGGAGCUUAAUAAGAGAGCUGACCUUAUAUAGAGAAGCUUAAUAAGAGAGCUGACCUUAUGUAGAGGAGCUUAAUAAGAGAGCUGACCUUAUAUAGAGAAGCUUAAUAAGAGAGCUGACCUUAUGUAGAGGAGCUUAAUAAGAGAACUGACCUUAUGUAGAGGAGCUUAAUAAGAGAGCUGACCUUAUGUAGAGGAGCUUAAUAAGAGAGCUGACCUUAUAUAGAGAAGCUUAAUAAGAGAGCUGACCUUAUGUAGAGGAGCUUAAUAAGAGAGCUGACCUUAUAUAGAGAAGCUUAAUAAGAGAGCUGACCUUAUGUAGAGGAGCUUAAUAAGAGAGCUGACCUUAUGUAGAGGAGCUUAAUAAGAGAGCUGACCUUAUGUAGAGGAGCUUAAUAAGAGAGCUGACCUUAUAUAGAGAAGCUUAAUAAGAGAGCUGACCUUAUGUAGAGGAGCUUAAUAAGAGAGCUGACCUUAUGUAGAGGAGCUUAAUAAGAGAGCUGACCUUAUAUAGAGAAGCUUAAUAAGAGAGCUGACCUUAUGUAGAGGAGCUUAAUAAGAGAGCUGACCUUAUAUAGAGAAGCUUAAUAAGAGAGCUGACCUUAUAUAGAGGAGCUUAAUAAGAGAGCUGACCUUAUGUAGAGGAGCUGAGGAGAUAUAUGAGAGGUGAGUGUAUAUAGCAGAGUUUAUAACAGCUGUCUGUAUAAAAAGAUUUUUAUGAGAAAUGUCUAAAUGUUUAUUACUCAUUAAUUUGAAACUCUUAAAUACUUAUUAAUUACCUAGAUACUUAUUAAUCAUCAUUUUUAACACAUAUGUGCUAAUUUAUCAUUAUUUUUAAAACUAAAUGCUUAUUAAUCAUUAUUAUGAAAUAGCCAUAGAUUUAUAAGAGAGCUGGUUGUAUAUACAAUAUAUUUAUAUGAUGUCUUAAAUGCUUAUCAAUCAUUAUUUUAAAACACCUUAAUACUUAUUACUCAUGAUUUUGAAUUAUCUCGAUACUUAUUACUCAAGAAUUUUGAAAUUUCUAGAUACUUAUUACUCAUGAUUUUGAAUUAUCUCGAUACUUAUUACUCAAGAAUUUUGAAAUUUCUAGAUUCUUAUUACUCAUGAUUUUGAAUAUUCUAGAUAUUUAUUAAUCAUUAUAUUGAAUUACCUAGAUAUUUAUUACUCAUUUUGAAUUACCUUGAUAGUUAUUAAUCAUCAUUUAGUAUCACAUACCUGCUUACUGAUCAUUAUUUUGAAAAAAAACUAAAUGCUUAUUAAAACCUUAUUAUGAAGCAGCUCAGUUCUUAUUAAUUUUUAAAUUAAAUGAUUUAUUUUAAAAACUGAAAUGUUUAUUAAUGAUUUUGAAGCAUCUAAAUAAUUUUUGAUCGUUAUAUUGAAUCAAUAUUUUGAAGCUUAUUAAUGCUUAUUAAUCAUAUUUUUGAAACAGUUACAUCUAAGGUCAGUCACAAGGUCGCAUUUAAGUCACUUAGGAUCAAUUUGGGUCACAUAGGGUCACGUAGGAUCAAUUUGGGUCACAUAGGGUCAUGUAGGAUCAAUUUGGGUCACAUAGGGUCACGUAGGAUCAAUUUGGAUCACAUAGGGUCACGUAGGAUCAAUUUGGGGCACAUAGGGUCAGGUAGGAUCACUUUGGGUCACAUAGGGUCACGUAGGAUCAAUUUGGGUCACAUAGGGUCAUGUAGGAUCACGUUGGGUCACAUAGGGUCACGUAGGAUCAAUUUGGAUCACAUAGGGUCACGUAGGAUCAAUUUGGGGCACAUAGGGUCAGGUAGGAUCAAUUUGGGUCACAUGGGGUCACGUAGGAUCAAUUUGGGUCACAUAGGGUCAUGUAGGAUCACGUUGGGUCACAUAGUCACGUAGGAUCAAUUUUGGUCACGUAGGGUCAGAUAGGAUCAAUUUGGGUCACAUAGGGUCAGGUAGGAUCAAUUUGGGUCACAUAGGGUCAGGUAGGAUCAAUUUGGGUCACAUAGGGUCACGUAGGAUCAAUUUGGGGCACAUAGGGUCACGUAGGAUCAAUUUGGGUCACAUAGGGUCAGGUAGGAUCAAUUUGGGUCACAUAGGGUCAUGUAGGAUCAAUUUGGGUCACAUAUGGUCACGUAGGAUCAAUCUGGGUCACAUAGGGUCAUGUAGGAUCACGUUGGGUCACAUAGGGUCACGUAGGAUCAAUUUGGGUCACAUAGGGUCACGUAGGAUCAAUUUGGGUCACAUAGGGUUAUGUAGGAUCAAGUUGGGUCACAUAGGGUCACGUCAAAUCAUAUUAAAGUCACAAAGGAUCAUAUUUGGGUUACAUUUAUAGCAUUAUUUGAUCUUAGGUAGGUCUCUUAACGUUGGGUCACAAAGGGUAACGUUUGAUUCACAUAGGUUAACGUUUGGGUCACAUAGGGUAACGUUUGGGUCACAUAGGGUAACGUUUGGGUCACAUAGGGUAACGUUUGGGUCACAUAGGGUAACGUUUGGGUCACAUAGGGUAACGUUUGGGUCACAUAGGGUAACGUUUGGGUCACAUAGGGUAACGUUUGGGUCACAUAGGGUAACGUUUGGGUCACAUAGGGUAGCAUUUAGAUCAUAUUUUCCUGGUUGACCAGGCAAACAAGUCUGGCUUUGGUCAACUUAUCAAGGAAAAGAGAAGAUCUGAUGUCAGUAACUAUAGACUUGUUAGUGUACUCAUUGUGAUGUCUAAGAGAUCUAAAAAGUUCCCUGUGAAUGAAGCUACAGAAACUACGAGUGAAUUUCUGUAUUGGUUAACAUUAGUGUACAUAUUACUGUAAGCUGAUUAUCUAUAGUAUUCAUAUAAACAAUUUAUUUCUCUUUCUUCCAAUUGUUCCUGUUUACCGUAACUGAUUUUUCACGCAGCUGAGCUACUUAGUUGUUUUAAAUUUUAAGGUUAUAAUUAUGAAUGAUUUAUAUUGUUUCUUAAAGCUAAACUUUUAAUAAUGUAAUGAUUAAAAAGACUCCAUUGGAAAUAUAUAUCACUUCGUC